RNAcentral lists this ribosomal RNA (496 nucleotides) under uncultured Desulfobulbus sp. Its description in RNAcentral is "bacterial SSU rRNA". It matches the Rfam family "Bacterial small subunit ribosomal RNA", at positions 903 to 1382 of the family's 1533-position model. Lineage: Bacteria; Pseudomonadati; Thermodesulfobacteriota; Desulfobulbia; Desulfobulbales; Desulfobulbaceae. The record is from RNAcentral.
GCCGCUCAGAACUAAAUGAAUUGACGGGGCCGCACAAGCGGUGGAGUAUGUGGUUUAAUUCGAUGCAACGCGAAGAACCUUACCUGGUCUUGACAUCCCGGAGACCCUUAGGAAACUAGGGGGUGCUUCCAUCUGGAAGAAUCUGGAGACAGGUGCUGCAUGGCUGUCGUCAGCUCGUGUCGUGAGAUGUUGGGUUAAGUCCCGCAACGAGCGCAACCCUUGCCUUUAGUUGCCAGCAGUUCGGCUGGGCACUCUAAAGGGACUGCCGGUGUUAAACCGGAGGAAGGUGGGGAUGACGUCAAGUCCUCAUGGCCUUUAUGACCAGGGCUACACACGUACUACAAUGGCCGAUACAAAGGGCAGCGACACUGCGAGGUGAAGCCAAUCCCGUAAAAUCGGUCUCAGUCCGGAUUGGAGUCUGCAACUCGACUCCAUGAAGUUGGAAUCGCUAGUAAUCGUGGAUCAGCAUGCCACGGUGAAUACGUUCCCGGGCCUU